Molecule: non-coding RNA, 95 nt
Organism: Caenorhabditis elegans
Lineage: Eukaryota; Metazoa; Nematoda; Chromadorea; Rhabditida; Rhabditidae
Source: Ensembl
AAAAAUAUUCGCUGCAAGCAGGGUUCGAACCUACGCGGGCAAUGCCCAUUGGAUUUCAAGUCCAACUCCUUAACCACUCGGACAUCGCAGCCCGU